Molecule: small nuclear RNA, 107 nt
Organism: Ochotona princeps (American pika)
Lineage: Eukaryota; Metazoa; Chordata; Mammalia; Lagomorpha; Ochotonidae
Source: Ensembl
GUGCUUACUUUGACAGCACAUAUGCUAAAAUUGGAAUGAUGCAGAGAAGAUUAGCAUGAUCCCUGCACAAGAAUGACAUGCAAAUUUGUGAAGCAGUCCAUACAUUU